UAGGGAAUCUUCGGCAAUGGGGGGAACCCUGACCGAGCAACGCCGCGUGAGUGAAGAAGGUUUUCGGAUCGUAAAGCGCUGUUGUUAAGGAAGAACGAGUGUGAGAAUGGAAAGUUCAUGCUGUGACGGUACUUAACCAGAAAGGGACGGCUAACUACGUGCCAGCAGCCGCGGUAAUACGUAGGUCCCGAGCGUUGUCCGGAUUUAUUGGGCGUAAAGCGAGCGCAGGCGGUUAGAAAAGUCUGAAGUGAAAGGCAGUGGCUCAACCAUUGUAGGCUUUGGAAACUGUUUAACUUGAGUGCAGAAGGGGAGAGUGGAAUUCCAUGUGUAGCGGUGAAAUGCGUAGAUAUAUGGGGGAACACCGGUGGUGAAAGCGGCUCUCUGGUCUGUAACUGACGCUGAGGCUCGAAAGCGUGGGGAGCGAACAGG
RNAcentral lists this ribosomal RNA (429 nucleotides) under Verrucomicrobiota bacterium. RNAcentral describes it as "Verrucomicrobia bacterium partial 16S ribosomal RNA". It matches the Rfam family "Bacterial small subunit ribosomal RNA", at positions 355 to 776 of the family's 1533-position model. Lineage: Bacteria; Pseudomonadati; Verrucomicrobiota. The record is from RNAcentral.